ACUUUUUGUGUAAGCAGAAAGCAUUGAGUCAAGUAGUGAUAACUUUAUGCAUUCCUGGAAAACAGUUGAAACGGUUCCCAUUUAUCUGAGAAAUGCAUUUUGGAAUCGUCACGGUGCAGCUUUUAGGUGCAAGCAGAACAGACCAGCUCCUAGAAAUGGGAUUUGAAAUAAAAGCGACAAAUGUGACAUCCCUGCAGCAUCCCACUCCGGGGAUAGCAUCAGGUGGGGAGUUUGGCUGGGGUGGUACACCCAUCAGACUGUAAGACAGGUCUUCUAAGGUGAGCUCAGGGAGGAUGGAAACCUCCCGCGGAGGAGAAGGGGAAAAAGCUUUCUUGAUCUUGACUCUCAGUACAAAUACAGAACGUGAAAGCAGGGCCUCAUCAUCCUUCUGACUUUUUGGGUUUUGCCCAAAACCCCAAACAUUCCUAACUCAUAUUAUGUUUAUGCUUGUAAAUUGUAAUUGUUAUUUUUCAGAAAGAGGU
Molecule: non-coding RNA, 482 nt
Filed under: Haliaeetus albicilla (white-tailed eagle)
Lineage: Eukaryota; Metazoa; Chordata; Aves; Accipitriformes; Accipitridae
Description: Eukaryotic large subunit ribosomal RNA
Rfam family: Eukaryotic large subunit ribosomal RNA
Source: Rfam by way of RNAcentral